Molecule: long non-coding RNA, 3456 nt
Organism: Equus caballus (horse)
Lineage: Eukaryota; Metazoa; Chordata; Mammalia; Perissodactyla; Equidae
Source: RefSeq, a predicted model, not a curated record
CAUAGGACUACCCAGAUUUUCUAUUUCUUCUUCUGUCAGUUUAUGUUUAGUUGAAUUGUGCAAGGAGUUUGUCCAUUUCAUCUAGAUUAUCGAAUUUAUUAGUGUAAAACUUUACACAGUAUCUUUUAAUUAAUUUUUAAAUCUAUGUAAUAUCUGUAAACUCUGUAGUGACGUCUCCUUUAUUUCAUUUCAGAUUUUGGUUAUUUAUGCCUUCUCCUACACAGAACCUGCUUCAGGAAGCUCAGUGAAGCUACCCCAGCUCCUAUCAGCUCACACGCCACACAGCCACUGUUUACUCUGGGAUCUUCCUGCCUCCCUGUUUUCUCCCUGGAAAUCUGAGCAACCGUCACCACAAUCAGGAUAAAGACUCCUUUCACACGCGAAGCACAGUGCAAAGCUUCAAGAUCCAUCACGAAAAGGCCGGCCCUGGAGGCCUCGUGGAUGAGUCGACCUGGUGGCUUCCAAGGCCGAAGUUGUAAUCCUACUGAUCCGACUCACAGAAUCCCAGAACCGGCAAAAACAGAACAAGAAGGAUCCUCAGAAAACAUCUGGCUCAACCCCUCGUGAUUCUGAUGGGCAACUGAGGGACAUCACAUUGAUUAUCGAUUAAACAGUGCAGGGAGAACGGGCGAAUGGCCGCUGACCUGACUCUCACUUGGAGCUUCACAGGGGCUCCGUGAUUCUCGGUUAAAGGUACACUGGACCCGGGUUUGAAUCCCUGCUCUGAACUUUUGGCUGAAUGAGAAUAAACAAGGGACCUCUGUCUUAUCACCUGGAGAGUGGGACCCACGCCAGCUCUCUCCUGGGUGUUUGAGUAAAGGAGAGCAGGCAGGGGUCUCGGGCGGCAUGCGGCUGGAGCUCCCUGCAAGGCAGUGGAUGCAUCGCUGGGCCAAAGGUUUCCUCGGGGUGAGGGGCCGGGCUCAGGGCAGGCUGGGUAUGGGCCAGCUCUGGGCCUCAGUUCCUCCAACUGAGACAUGACUCAUUUUUCAUGAAGAUACAGGAGGUUUGGGAAAAUGCUCCAGAGCAGAGAUCUGUGGAGCAGAGACAGGAGCACACACUGGGUUUGAGCCACAGCUCAGACAAUCACCAGCUGUGUGAUCUUGGCAGAGCACUUAACCUCACUGAAGCUAGCUUCCCAGGCAGAUAUGGCACCAGCCCUGAGGACCCCAGCUCAGGAUGCUGCCCCUGGGGUGCUCACGGGAGAUGCUGAGUGGAAACAGAUGGCAAGGAACAGUUACUGCCCAGUGUGGAGCAUGCAUGCAUACGGGAAGCCCAGGGGCUACAGAAACCAGCAGAGGGCUUCCUGGAGGAGGUGGCGUUGAAGUCAAGACCCAAAGGGUGAGGAGUGAGGAAUGGAGAGAAAGAGUUCCAAGCAGAAGGAACAGCAUGUGCAAAGGCCCAGAGGUGAACAAGCUUGUUCUCCAUAGCCUCUCAUACUGGCUUUAAAGCCAUCCCUCCCUCCAGUGGCCCUCCACCCCUUUCCAGGAGAGUCCCGGUUUUUAAAUAUCCCAGUCUAACGUGGAGGCUGUGGUUCUCUGAACUCAGGCAGUUGGUCAUCAGCAUCUCUAUUAAUUAGCUCGAGCUGCUAUAACGAAAUACCCAAGGCUGGGAGCUUAACCAACAGACAUUUAUUUCUCACAGUUCUGGAGGCUGGAAGUCCAGGAUCAAGGUGCCAGCCGAUUAGAUUCCUGGUGAGGACCCUCUUCCUGCCUUGUAGCCUGCCACCUCCUUGCUGUGUCCUCACACGGCAGAGACAGAGAGAGUGACCUGUCUUCCCCUUCUUAUAAAGCCACUAGUUCCAUCAUGAGGCCCCGUCCUCAGGCUGUCUAAUCCUAAUUACCUCCCAAAGGCCCAUCACACGAAGGUCCUAGGGCUUUAACAAAUGAAUUUGUGGAGACAGUUCAGUCCACACAGCGUCUGCCAGAGGGCCAAGGGAGAACAGGGGCACACGGAGCUGGAAGGACCCUCGUGGUUUUCUUCUGGAGGCUUCUCAGCCCCAUGAGGGCAGGCACUGUGUCUGUCUGGGGCCCAGAACCCUGCGUGGCACCUAGUGGGUGCUUGGGACAUCCAGCACACUCCUAUCAUUCGGAGAAGCGGAGGCUGAGCCGGGGCAAAGGACGUGUCCAGCAUCACACCAAAGGCUAAUGGCCAAGCUGGGACCUGGACUGGCCCUCACGCCAGGCAGCCCCCCAAUCUGGCACAGGAUGAGGUUUCAGGUCCCACAGGGCCCAAACGGGGUUGGAUCCAGAGGCAGUGAAGACCAGGGGGGUCAGCACUGCUGUCUCUUCCUUCAGCCUCAGCUUCAUCCUUGCAUUCGACAAUUGUUUAUCACAUACAUGCUAUGGGCCAGGACCGUUCUCGUGCUGGGGAUAUAGCAGCGAACACAACUGACAAGGUAUCUGAUUUCACAGAGCCUCUCCUAGUGGGGAGAGACAGACAAUAAACAGGAUUAAUAAUUAAAAUAGAUAGGAUGCCAGGUGAUGGCAAGCGCCAUGGAGAAAACAGAGCAGAGCAAGGGGGUGGGGGGCUCUUACAGACCGACGUGUCAGAAGCAUCUCUGAACAGGGGACGUGAAGGAGCGAGACCCGACAGAACACACAGUGCUUUUAAAACCUUCACGAAUUCUUUACUACUCUUCCCUCAAGAGAUGGAGCUUGAGCAUGGACUCAGCCUCCCUUUGAGUGUGGACUGGACUUGGUGACUCGCCUUUAACAAGUGGAAUGUGCCAGAAGUGAUGCCUCUGACUCCUGGGUAGGUUAUAAGAUACGUCGCUGUUUCCACCUCCCUCUCUCUCUUGGAUCACCUGCCCUGGGGAAAGCCAGCUGCCAUGUCAUGAGGAUGCUCAAGCAGCUCGGUGGGGAGGCCCAUCCAGGAACUAACCUCUCUGCUCCCAGCCAGGGAGGAACUGAGGCCUCCUGUCAACAGCCACAUAAGGGAGGCACAUGGGAAGUGGGCCCUCCAGCCCCAGUCAAGCCUCCACAUGAGGGCAGCCUCCUCAAAGAGCCUGAGCCAGACCCUGCCACUCCUGGGGUCUGACCCACAGAAACUAUGUGAUAAUGAAUGUUUGCUGCUUUAAGCCACUAAAUUUUGGGGUAAUUUGUUAUGUGGCAACAGAUAACAAACACAGAAGGGGAGGAGCCAACCAUAUGGAUACCUGGGGGGAGAGUGAUCUGAGCAAAGGGGACAGCAGGUGCAAAGGCCCUGCGCCUCCAUGCUGGGAGGGUGAGGAUUCCACCUGUGGCUCAGCGCUUGUCUCUUUGGUCCUCAAUUUAUUCAUGUGUCAAAAGACAUUAUCCGAUGAGAAAUUUGAUUAGAGAACUAGGAAGGCUCAGAGAGUAGGGCCUAGUGCCCAAUAGGUCCUCAGUAAAAUGGUCUGGAUGGAUAAAAGAUGAAAGGAUGGAAAGAAAAUUGGAAGAAAGAAGGAGAAAAGAUAGGAGGAAGGAUUGGAAGAAGAUG